UCUGUUCAAUUUCUUCUCAGUGUUUUGGUUGUCAAAAUACAGAGAUGACAAAUGACUUCUUUGCAGAAUGCCGGCAGAAAAUCUGUGUACGGCUGAUGCAUCGAGCAACAUGUGGGGAAUGUUAAUAGCUCUGUCACCCUCUCAGUUGGGAAAACACUGCUCAGAGGGAAAGGUUGAACACUGAGGGUGCUGGAACAGAUUACAUCAAGGUUUCACAUACAGUGCCACUCCACUAUCAACUGGGCAUUCCUACUGAUGUCCCUCCUCUGCUUUUUAAUCAGCACUGUGCAGAUUCCGUAAUUUCAUCUGCUGACACUUCCUUUCAUCGAGGCUCUUGAGCCACUUUCCAUGCCAGCUCUAUUUUAGGAUGAAUGCAGCCUGAUCACCCUGCUAAGUACCUCUCCUGAGUGCUACCUCCCUGAUGCUGCAGAGAGAUACAAGGUCUUUCCUGUCUGUAAAAGACAGUGCUCUCCUGCCUAUGUUUUAAGCUGGGAAGAGGACAGCUGCCUAAAG
Long non-coding RNA from Zonotrichia leucophrys gambelii, 513 nucleotides. RefSeq lists it as uncharacterized. Lineage: Eukaryota; Metazoa; Chordata; Aves; Passeriformes; Passerellidae. The transcript is spliced from 4 exons. The record is from RefSeq and is a predicted model, not a curated record.